ACAGCAGUAGCCGCGGUAAUACGAAGGGGGCUAGCGUUGUUCGGAAUUACUGGGCGUAAAGCGCACGUAGGCGGAUAUUUAAGUCAGGGGUGAAAUCCCAGAGCUCAACUCUGGAACUGCCUUUGAUACUGGGUAUCUUGAGUAUGGAAGAGGUGAGUGGAAUUCCGAGUGUAGAGGUGAAAUUCGUAGAUAUUCGGAGGAACACCAGUGGCGAAGGCGGCUCACUGGUCCAUUACUGACGCUGAGGUGCGAAAGCGUGGGGAGCAAACAGGAUUAGAUACCCCAGUAGUCCCUGUCUCUUAUAC
RNAcentral lists this ribosomal RNA (305 nucleotides) under uncultured bacterium. Its description in RNAcentral is "partial 16S ribosomal RNA". It matches the Rfam family "Bacterial small subunit ribosomal RNA", at positions 508 to 807 of the family's 1533-position model. The record is from RNAcentral.